Molecule: ribosomal RNA, 257 nt
Filed under: uncultured bacterium
Lineage: Bacteria
Description: partial 16S ribosomal RNA
Rfam family: Archaeal small subunit ribosomal RNA
Source: RNAcentral
UAACACCGGCGGCUCGAGUGGUAACCGUUAUUAUUGGGUCUAAAGGGUCUGUAGCCGGCCGGAUAAGUCUCUUGGGAAAUCCAGCAGCUUAACUGUUGGGCUUUCAGGAGAUACUGUCUGGCUCGAGGCCGGGAGAGGUGAGAGGUACUUCAGGGGUAGGGGUGAAAUCUUGUAAUCCUUGAAGGACCACCAGUGGCGAAGGCGUCUCACCAGAACGGACCUGACGGCAAGGGACGAAAGCUAGGGGCACGAACCGG